GAAUGGCUAGAGUAUGAAUCUCUGCUCUCUCUCCAAUGGGAUCAGUGGCUGCCUCUACUACUUGGUUGACCUUCAUUACUUCUCAUUUCCUUUCUCACGUUCUACAGGAAUGUUUGCUGGAAGAAACACAAGGUCUUCAAUGUUAGCCUCUCACCCUGACAAAAGAAAAAGACCCUCAGCUUCCAGUUGCCUGCCACUUCAACGUACCACCUUGCUCCCUGGUCAACUUCUCUGGCUCAGGCUUACUGUAUGUUGCAGCAAAGCUGAGCACAAGUUGGAAGAAUAAAACUCGCUUUCCACUUGGGAACUCUACAGCCUUCUGGAUUCAAUAUCAAGUUCAACAAUUUAAGGGCUUGGUCUCUCCUAUGUCAAGCCUUGUUAUCACAGGGUCUGCUAUUACACACUAGCCACUAACAGUUUCCAUUAACAGCUACUCACCCUCCUUGCCUGUUCGUUAUCCACACCUUUGUCUGUCCAACUGUUCUUCUCUCUCUUUGGGCUCUAUUCACACCUAUUGUUUGCUCUUUACACCCUAUCUUUUGCGUAAAAAUGAACACUUUCCUAACUACCAUCAGUUCUGUAUAAGGGUCACUGGACCUGAAACAUUAACUCUGAUUUCCCUUCACAGAAGCUGCCAGACCUACUGAGCUUUUCCAGCAAUUUCUGUUUUCGUUAAAAGUAAAUAAAGAAUGGACAUCGUAAUUGGACAACAAACUCCAGAAUAAAUUUUAUCCCACAGGCAAUGUUGAGUUGGCCUUAUCCUGAUUGUAAAUAAGGAUAGAAGGACACAAGUAACUGUGAAAUGUCAACCUACAUUGUUUUGUAAAAUGUGCCUUCAGAAAUAUAUUCUGUUGAGGCAAAUUAAAUGUGACUUGGUUUUGAUGGUGGGGUUUGCGAAACACAAGGGCCUGUGAAGGAAGUUAAUCUUUGUAUUUUGUUUGUCCUUCCUUCUGUAUGAAUACACCGGUUUUGAUGUAUAUUGAAAAUAAAAAUUGUACUUUUUUUUCUUUCA
Molecule: long non-coding RNA, 1012 nt
Organism: Stegostoma tigrinum
Lineage: Eukaryota; Metazoa; Chordata; Chondrichthyes; Orectolobiformes; Stegostomatidae
Exons: 2
Source: RefSeq, a predicted model, not a curated record